AACAUCUCAAAUCUCUUGGACUUUUUUGUUCGAGAGAGUUGGAUUUGAGCGAUUCCGACUCUUUUCUACCCGAAAAAAGGAGGGCCGCUUGAAAUGCAGGUGCAGCUGGACAUUCUUCUGAGCUAAAAGCAUAUUUAUUUAGUCCCGUCAAACGGAUUAUUACUUUUUGCUUCAGCUAACAUAAAGGUCGAAUGAACAACCAACGCUGAUUGCAGGAAAACUCGUUUCUUGACUGAAACUUGUGA
This 245-nucleotide unclassified non-coding RNA is filed under the name uncultured Mortierellales. RNAcentral's name for it is "sequence contains ITS2". The record is from RNAcentral. Lineage: Eukaryota; Fungi; Mortierellomycota; Mortierellomycetes; Mortierellales.